This is a non-coding RNA of Nylanderia fulva, 378 nucleotides long. The record is from RefSeq and is a predicted model, not a curated record. Lineage: Eukaryota; Metazoa; Arthropoda; Insecta; Hymenoptera; Formicidae.
CGCCGUAGUGUGAAGGAGCGAGUCUUUGCGCUCUGAUAAUAUUCGCAGAGAUAUGCCAAUUACUGUGCGGAUAUACUAUAUGACUUGAAGAUCUUCACACGAACAUUAGCUUUAUCGUCAUUCUCAUGACUACAAUUUAUUGUACAGACGACGCGUAAAAUUCGGGAGUGCCGUUAAAAGUAUUGUACGUACAAGUGCGGGAGUGCCGUUAAAAUUAAGUAUCGCGCGUGUUAAUCAACUUUGACGACUCUGAUAACUUAUUAGAGGAGGAGGAGGUCUGGGAAAGACGUCGGGCACCAGCGCAACAACCAUGGGAUGACCGUAGCUUCAGGUCAAUGCAGUUAACUUCGCUGUUACGCAUCGACCGGUGAGUAAAAA